UGAGUGGCGAACGGGUGAGUAACACGUGAGUAACCUGCCCUCUUCUUUGGAUAACGCCCGGAAACGGGUGCUAAUACUGGAUAUUCACUGAUCUUCGCAUGGGGGUUGGUGGAAAGGUUUUUUCUGGUGGGGGAUGGGCUCGCGGCCUAUCAGCUUGUUGGUGGGGUGAUGGCCUACCAAGGCUUUGACGGGUAGCCGGCCUGAGAGGGUGACCGGUCACAUUGGGACUGAGAUACGGCCCAG
Molecule: ribosomal RNA, 243 nt
Filed under: uncultured bacterium
Lineage: Bacteria
Description: partial 16S ribosomal RNA
Rfam family: Bacterial small subunit ribosomal RNA
Source: RNAcentral